Molecule: long non-coding RNA, 3360 nt
Organism: Monodelphis domestica (gray short-tailed opossum)
Lineage: Eukaryota; Metazoa; Chordata; Mammalia; Didelphimorphia; Didelphidae
Source: Ensembl
AUGAUGUUGAUGAAAGCCAGCACCAAAGGACACAGGGACACAAAUGAAAUCCAGGGACUGAGGAUGGACCAUAGGCCGUCAGAAAGAGCGGAGGACGCCAGAAUUUCCAGACAUUUGCAAAGUCGUCAGGUUUCCAUAGAAGACCCGAUUUCUGCAGUCUACACAACGUUGGUGGAAGGAAACUCAUUUUCACUGGAUGAAGUCUCUCCCCGUUUCUGGCUCUUGUACCACCAUGACCCCAUGUUGCUAGUAGAAACUUUUCCUAUAAGCCCUACAGUGUGAUUAAAGAUGACUGGUGGAGUUUUGUGACCACAGAGUCAUCAUGAGAAUGAGAGAGAUGAAAGAUAUUGUGCCGAGUAUUUCAGGGCAGCAAGUUUUCCUGCAGCAGCAGCAGCAUGAUCAUUUCCUGAAGAAAUAGGAUUCAUGUACUCAACUUGUUCUACCAGUGAAGGCAGAGCAAUGGACAAAGGCCAGGGCGGUGGGAAGUUUUCUGAACAGAUGAGAAAAUUUUUUAUGAAAUAUGCAUUCACAAAGGCCUUACCAGCAGAUGGGUUCUGGAUAACGGAUAACACUCACACUUUCCCAGGCAUCUUUGGAGUGAAACAGGGCUGUGUGCUUGCUCCUAUGCUCUUUAGCAUGCUCUUUUCAGCAAUGUUGUCAGACACCUGAAGAUGAAAAUAGUCCUGAGGUCAGCUAAUGGACUGAUGGGAAAUGAUUUAACUUGAAAAGCCUCCGAGCCAAGACUAAAGUGCGUGACUUUUUAGUCACAGAUGACGAUGCACUCAGUGCAUCCUGUGAGACUUAGAUACAACAGGACAUGGAUUGAUGCUCUGUUGCUUGUGCUAACUUGGACCUAACAAUUAACAUCAAAAAAAGAGGUUCUCCAAGAGCCAGCAUCACACUGUCUAUAUGCGGACCCAGCAAAACUGAAUGGUGUGGACAAGCUCAUUUACCUUAGCAGUAUACUUUCCUGGGAGUCCACAUAGAUGAGGAAGGUGAUGCACACAUUGUCAGAGCUAGUUCAGUGUUGGGGAGGCUCUGAAACAAAUGGCGGAGAGAAGAGUAAUAGGCUACCUACUGGACUGAAGGUGUACAUAACUAUUAUGCUGAUCUCAUUGUCAUACGCUGGUGAACCCUGGAUAGUGUACCAGUGCCUUGCCAGGAAAUGGAAUCACUUCCAUUUGAAUUGUCUUAGAAACAUUCUGAAGGUCAACUGAGAUCCUUUAUCAAGCUUAAUAAGCAAGCAAUUCAAACUAAGGCAGAGAACUCAACUCCAAUGAGCUGGUCACAUUGUUCAAACACCAAAUGUAUAAAAGACUAUCGUACAGAGAAUUCACAUGAAGGUCAGAAAAAGAGAUAAAAAGACACUCUAAAGGUCUCCCUGAAGAAUUCUGGUAUCCAUUAUGAGACAUAGGAGACACUGGCACAGGACUGCCCAGCAUGGCAUGCCCACAUCAACAAAGGACCAAUGCUCCAUGAACAAAGAAGAACUGUAGUAGCUUAAAAGAAACAUAAGAUACAUAAAAUUUAGAAACAUCUCCAGCCCAAAUGUUCACAUGGGCUAUCUCUGCCUGCCUUGUGGCAGAGCCUUCUGAGCUUAUAUCGGUGUGAUCAAUCACAGUCAGACACACUGUACAUUAAUCCCAAUGUAAUGAUGUUAUCUUGGUUCUCUAUGAGUUCGAAGUUCAACAACCAACUACCAUCUGAAGUCAAAAAAGCUCUUCCAACAGCAUAACAGGCACCUAUGCAUCCCAUGAAUCAUUAUCAAAUGUGGUGCUUUUUCCUUUGGCAAGGGGACAUGCCUGGGUAAAGGCUACAAGCUAACAGCUUGGGUGCCAAGACCAGAAGGCAGUAAAGCCACACCAAAAUGUCACAGAAACUAUAGCAGUGCCAGUGUUGUGAGCAGUAUCUUUCAUAAAGGAGGACCCAUCAUCAGUAUAGAAAACAGAAUCAAGAUUGCACAAGCAAGUAUCAUAAAGGUCAUCAUGGCAUUUUUUAGCCAUGCCCAAUACAAAGCACAAUGGUGUGGUGGUUUCCCAGAGACUGGCAGAACUGGGGGAAAUGUGUCAGAAUUUAGGUUUAGAGUGGCACAGUGCCUGACAGCAAUAUCUUCUUUGCAAAGCAAGGACACUUCAGAUUUGGCAAGUAUCUGAUCUGAAAAGGUUCAUAUCUUCACGAGGACACUACUAUUUGGGGAGAAGUGAAAAUCAAAUUACAAACCUCUACCAAAAGGGUUGUGGCAGCUACAGCAAGUAGGCAAGGUGAUGUUCCAGCAGCCACAGAAACAAGGUGGGCAGAAUUGUCGUUUGUCCUUAAAUUUUGAAGAGAACCAAUGACAUCAUGGGGUGAUAUCCUGAUUUGCAGGUGAACUGGAUUUCAGUGAGGCAGAGUUGCAUAAAGUCAUCAGCUUCACUCUCUUUGAGGGUCACUGAAGUCCAGUGGCAAGACAAAAGUUCAGAAGGCUAGUGAUGACCCAGGAGGCAGUGAAUGGCAUCUUCAAUGUAUGUCUAAGCACUUUAAAGCACUAGAUUCAACCACCUUCAUGACUGUUGGAACAAAUUGUUCUUCUCAUCCAUCCAUUCUAUUGGGAGAAAUCUUCAUAUUCUUGAGGUAGCCAUCCCCCUAACUAACUGAUGGGUUUGAGGACAAUCAGUUACUCUCAGCCUGGUUCAGUCCAUUUACUGGUGUACAGCUACUACACAUGCUAUAGCUUCUUGGAGCCACAGGUGACAGCUGGGCAAGAGCUGGAGUCCAAAGGUGGAUGAGCAAAAGGGUUCAGCAAGUCUUCACAUCAGAGGUGUUGAUCCUUCCAGAAUAAUCCAUAUAUUCAUAAGCCACUAGGUGAGGAUUGGGUUCAAAUGUCUUAGUCAGAACACCAGAAGCCACUCCCCUUUACUUGUAUCUAAAAAGAGAGAAGGACUUACUAUCAUCCAGGAACUCUAAUGCAGGUGCCAAUAAUAACAGGGCUCUUUUGAGGCCCACAAGGGCAGAGAUAUGUUGAGUGUCUAACUGCAAAGGUUCCAGAACAGUCUUCAGUGAGAGACAUGGGGCUUAGUAAUCCUGUGAUAUGAAGGAAUCUGUUGCCUCCAGUAUCUGGGAACUCCAAAGAUGAUACACAGUUGUGGCUGAGUGGUGGGUCCACCGAAUUGCUGGAUAGCCUGAAUGUAUUUAUGAGAGAGAGAACUUCAAACAUCCCAUCUGUGCAAGGCACCACUGGAUUUGUGGCUUAGAGACUUUAUGGCCCUUUUGGUGAAGUCUGAGUACUAGAUGACAGACCUCGGCAGAUUAUCCAUGUACUGGGCCAAGGUGGUGAAAUCUGGAGCAAAUAAACUGUGGCCCUUGAUGUACCCUCGAGGGAGA